RNAcentral lists this ribosomal RNA (253 nucleotides) under uncultured bacterium. RNAcentral describes it as "partial 16S ribosomal RNA". It matches the Rfam family "Bacterial small subunit ribosomal RNA", at positions 524 to 776 of the family's 1533-position model. The record is from RNAcentral.
UACGAAGGGGGCUAGCGUUGCUCGGAUUCAUUGGGCGUAAAGGGUGCGUAGGCGGCGCGGUAAGUCGGGUGUGAAAUCUCGGAGCUUAACUCCGAAACUGCAUUCGAUACUGCCGUGCUUGAGGACUGGAGAGGAGACUGGAAUUUACGGUGUAGCGGUGAAAUGCGUAGAUAUCGUAAGGAAGACCAGUGGCGAAGGCGGGUCUCUGGACAGUUCCUGACGCUGAGGCACGAAGGCCAGGGGAGCAAACGGG